RNAcentral lists this long non-coding RNA (558 nucleotides) under Sarcophilus harrisii (Tasmanian devil). Its description in RNAcentral is "lncRNA (ENSSHAG00000022200.1)". Lineage: Eukaryota; Metazoa; Chordata; Mammalia; Dasyuromorphia; Dasyuridae. The record is from RNAcentral.
GUCAACCACUACUUAUAUGUUAUUGGGCAAAUCAUUCAACCUCUGGGCCAUAGUUUUCUCAACUAUAAAAAAGAGGGUUGGGCCAGGUGAUCAAUAAGAGAGAUGCCUUCCAGCUCUAUAUCCCCUGACUGCUAAUGAGACUUUCCAAUUCACAUCUCGUCCAACACAGGCAUGUUUGAGUUACUAAACCUUACAAAGUUGAGACAGACAUGGAAGAAGAUUCACAGAAGAAUGAGAGACAUGAUUCAAGAUAUGGAAGAUACAUUUUAAAAGGCAAAGAUCUGGAGAAGAGAAGAUACUUUCCUCAGAACAUUUGGAAGAAAAAGAAAUCUCUUCAAGUGAAUCAAGUAUGGUGUAAAAUCAUUAUGGCAAAUUUUCCUCACAUUCCAAAGUGAUGAAAACAAAAAAUUAAAAAAAAAGAUUAUCAGCAGAAUUCCUAAAAUAUGCUUUUCAUAUGAUAAAAAAAAAUCUGAGAUUCUUCCACCAAAAUCUACAUCAUUAGGUCAAAUUAGGUUCUCAAACACUAUGCCGCUUACAGGUGAAAUUGUUGCAGGUCUU